Molecule: long non-coding RNA, 621 nt
Organism: Malus domestica (apple)
Lineage: Eukaryota; Viridiplantae; Streptophyta; Magnoliopsida; Rosales; Rosaceae
Source: RefSeq, a predicted model, not a curated record
UUCGCUGCCCUUUUCGUGUCAACUCGUGUUGUUCCAGUUGCUUCCAUUUGUUUCCAAAGAUUCCACGCGUUGUUCAUCGACGAAUGCUUUCUUUUUCGUUAUUUUUGGUGCAGAUAUGAAGAGGAUUUGUGAAGUGCCAGUGAUUUCAUGGUAAGUUUCUUUGAACAGAUUUGAGAAUUUGGGAUCGUUUGGGGUGUUUUGAAGUUUUUUUUAUUGGGAAAAGAAACCCUUGCUUCCUCCCGCAAUUUGUGCGCUUAGUUCUCAAUUGGGUUCACAGUAAAAACCCAUAAACUUUAGAGUAAAAACCUUGAAACUUAAAGAAAUGCUAUUCUUGCCGAAGACCUGCCAUAUAUUUGUGUCCCAAGCGACAUACAGAAUAAUUUACAAUGUCUUCAGCUUCUAUUGAUCUGGCCCAGUUUACAGCUUAGGGGAAAGAAAACUUGGAAUCAGACAUAACAUGUAUGAUGAAUAAGAAACUCAUACACAGAAUGACCCCACCAAGAUUUCAGCUACUUGGCAAUCAACGACUAAUAUCACUUCUAAGAAGGCAAGAUCAACAUAUGGCAUGUCAGAGCAGUAUAUUUUUCACAAACAGAUGGUAAAAUUGUACACAUCACAUUA